This is an RNA transcript of Sander lucioperca (pikeperch), 4003 nucleotides long. It is a transcript of the gene named potassium calcium-activated channel subfamily N member 2, with no coding region annotated. Lineage: Eukaryota; Metazoa; Chordata; Actinopteri; Perciformes; Percidae. The transcript is spliced from 8 exons. The record is from RefSeq and is a predicted model, not a curated record.
GUUGCAACCUUUUCAUGACGUCGAUACAGUUGUUUUGGUCCCCCCUACCCAAUCGGAGGCUCCGCUCACAUUCUACCGGAGCCGAAAUGGGUCUAUUCAUGCAGCGGCUCUGUCCUCCCGUAAGUACCAUAACGCCCUUCGUCGGGUGCUCUAUGGUACCCGACUGCUGCUUUAAACGGCAGCACUGAGAUGGAAACCCCAUUGCAGCUGCAGAACGAUUUCUUUCCAGAGCAGCAAUUCCAGCACUGUAAGUACCAGCACUACUGCGGGCGGGAGGAUCGGAUCGGCAAGCAGCACGACCAAUGCUGCACCUGCAAUAACUGCACCUGUGAUGCGAGAAAAAGCCUCGUCUUUCGCGGGACGUCGCCGACCACUGUGGGAACUUUAAGGACACCUUCGGAAACGUCUUCGAGACAAGGUUGUCAGUACAGCGUCUGCGAGUUUACACCCUCUAGUCAUGGUAGUUCAUCCAGGCAUCAUCAUCCUCACAAUCAGCAGCAGCAGCAUUGUCGCGAUCGGCAGCGGGGCAGCCUGGGCAGCAGCCACAAAGACAGUAACUCCUACAAUGAAAUAGCCAUGAGCAGCUGCAGAUACAACGGCGGCGUAAUGCGGCCGCUGAGCAACUUGAGCUCGUCCCGCAGAAACAUACACGAGUUUGAUUCCGAGUCCCAGCCUUUGCAGCCCAUCUCAGCCGCAGAUGCGUCUGACACUUUAGUAUCCAAGGCGGAGAAUAAUUCCACCACACUGAUGCCUUACGCAUCGGGAGACGGAGGGGGAGGCUGCGGCCACAGCGGCGGUAAAUUGGGGAAAAAGAAGAACCAGAACAUUGGGGAAAAGCUCGGGCACAGGAGGGCCUUGUUUGAGAAAAGGAAGCGGCUCAGCGACUAUGCUUUAAUCUUUGGGAUGUUUGGGAUCGUUGUUAUGGUUAUAGAGACUGAACUCUCAUGGGGAGCCUAUGGAAAGGAGUCCCUGUAUUCAUUAGCUCUAAAAUGCCUGAUAAGCCUUUCUACAAUCAUUCUCCUGGGACUGAUUAUCAUAUACCAUGCAAGAGAGAUACAGUUAUUUAUGGUGGACAACGCAGCUGAUGACUGGAGGAUAGCCAUGACAUAUGAGCGCAUCUUCUUCAUCUGCCUGGAAAUCCUGGUGUGCGCCAUCCACCCCAUCCCAGGAAAUUACACCUUCACCUGGACAGCACGCCUGGCCUACUCGUAUGUGCCAUCCAAGACGGAUGCGGACGUGGACAUAAUUCUGUCCAUCCCCAUGUUCCUGCGGCUGUACCUCAUCGCUCGUGUCAUGCUGCUGCACAGCAAACUUUUCACGGACGCCUCGUCCCGCAGCAUCGGUGCACUCAACAAGAUUAACUUUAACACACGCUUUGUGAUGAAGACCCUCAUGACCAUCUGUCCCGGCACUGUGCUGCUGGUCUUCACCAUCUCACUGUGGAUCAUCGCCGCAUGGACUGUGAGAGCUUGCGAGAGGUACCAUGACAACCAGGACACAACCAGCAACUUUCUAGGAGCCAUGUGGUUGAUCUCAAUCACAUUUCUUACCAUUGGAUAUGGGGAUAUGGUCCCAAACACAUACUGUGGGAAAGGAGUCUGCCUCCUGACUGGCAUUAUGGGCGCUGGCUGCACUGCCUUGGUGGUGGCUGUGGUGGCAAAGAAACUGGAGUUAACCAAAGCUGAAAAACAUGUCCACAAUUUUAUGAUGGACACCCAGCUAACAAAAAGAGUGAAAAACACAGCUGCGAAUGUUCUCAGGGAGACGUGGCUCAUCUAUAAGAACACCAAACUGGUGAGGAAGAUGGACCACGCCAGAGUCAGGAAACACCAGAGGAAAUUUCUCCAAGCCAUUCACCAAGCUCGAAAGUAAGUCUUCGCCUCACCUGUAGAUACAGACCUGUUGUGUGCAUGCUAACGAGAGCUUGUCCUUGAACCCAAUAAUGUGACUAAAAAAUUACACUCCCUCAUUUGAUAAGUGAAAUUCAUGCCACAAAAAAUGUCGUAGCUUGCAACAAUUGAAUCGUUUCACAUGACACAAUCAUAAUGUUUUUGUGAGAUGUCUGUUCAACUGAGUAACAUGUCAAUUUGAUAAAAUACACAUUAUUCUCUUAUUUUUCAUUCAAUCUUCAACAUUUUGCAAACAAACAGCUUCAAAUAAUCAGCACAAACACCUUUUUUGUUUCAUCAUUGAGUAGAACCAUGUUGCACUUUGUAAACACACCUACAGAUGCAUAUUAAGUGAAUUUCAAUUAUCGGUGAUGGAGGGUGUUUUUCUUUCCAUUUCUGCAUGGAUGUGAUGAGAAUUUAAUCUUUAAUCAGAAAGCCACUGAUUAAACUCCAAUCAACUGUGCUUUCACGUACCGAAGGAUGACGACUAGAGCUCUACAGGAGACAGACCUGCAGUAGCACAAGUAUAUAACUCACAGUAUCCCACAAGUCAUGUUAAUUUAGCAGUCAUGCUCAUACAGACCAGGGCUCAGGGUCAUCUUUCGGCGUGUGGAACCAUUGUUACGCCUGUUGCUACAUUUGCAGCCCCAUUUCCUCCAUUUCUUCUGUUGGAUGACACAGUAGCAAACACGCUGAUCAGGUGUUAUCAUGGCUGGUAAACAGCAUAAUAACACACACAUGCAGCUGUCAUGCAUUUCUACACUGAGAAGAAUUAGCAGAGUUAGCCGUGAACACAGUUUAAACACUCCUAAGGUUAUUUGGAUGGUGCGGUUUAUCACACCACAGGCACGAUGUUGCAUGCGUGCAACCAAAUGUCUUCCAGUAUGUUUUAGGCCAUUAAGUCAAGUGUAUCAGUGCUGUCAGACCAUCCCCUUUGGGAACGCUGUCCCUUUCCAUCUACAAGGUUGAAGUGGGACUCAUAGCAAGAGGCAGGGCAGUGAGUGGUUGUUAGCUCAGCGAUCAGUGGAUUGGAGAAACAGGAAAGUGACCUGAGAGGAAGGUCAUGGGUAAAGCCUCCGAGCAAUCCCCUUUGAGCCCGAGAGGCUGUGACUGUGACCGACAGCAUGAAGCUGUCAGAAGGGACAGGAAAAACACAACUGCAGAAUGGUCACUCUGUCCAUUACACUGAAGAGAAAUUAGCAUUUCUUUCCACAAUGAGGUAAAGGGAGGUCAUGACAAAGAAAGCAAGUCAAGAUUGUAAAAAAUAUGGCGCAGCACUAACUGAGAUUGCUUUAACUGAUUUAUUGGGUAUUGAAAAGCUUAGCGUUGCCGUUUCCCCCUGAUGAAUAGCAAGCAGAGUGCCCAUUGAAAAGGAGAAAUACCCAUGACAGGUGAUUGACCGAGGGAACAGAAUAUAAAAGACACGACAAGUGGGCUUCCUCGUCCUGACCUCGGGCUGCCCUGUGCUUUACCCCAUCUGCCAGCUAUUGGUCAUCCAACGGUAAAAUUUGUACAGGUCUUACAUCAACUAAAAAUCAUUUAAUAUUGAAUAUCUAUCUAUAUCUUCCAUCAUUGUAGCUACCUUUGUUUUUAUUUUAUUUAAAUGCAUUAUUAAUAGAAGUGAAAUAGUGUUCUGUCCUUGUUUUUAGAGUCUGCUCUGUAUGAAGCAUUUAGGUCCUCAGUUGUCAGGAAACCUUCCCUUGCCUGUAGUUUGCUUUAGUGACUCCUGUGGCACCCUCUGUUGGUCUAACCUUCACUCCACAUCUGCCUGUCAAACCAGAAACAGAGAAAUGAUCCCGCAUUGCAUGAGAACAGGUGCAUCUCAGCUAAUUAGCAGACGCCUCCCCCCUCCUCCUCCCCUCCCCUCCCCACCGGGGCCUCUUAAAUCCCUUCUCAAUCUAAAUUCCUGUUUGCCUUCAGUUCACACACAACCUUAUAACCACCUCAAACUGAAUUCAUGUCUCAGUUAGUUAUAGGUUGUUGUUGUUGUUAUUAUUUUGAAAAAAUCUGAAACGUUGGCAAACUUGGCAUCAUGAUGCUAUUCUGUGUACUGUGUCCUGUUUAAUUCAGCAUGCGUAGGUGAUUCUGGGGGGGAAAACUUUUUAAUAUUUUGA